RNAcentral lists this ribosomal RNA (123 nucleotides) under Pogona vitticeps (central bearded dragon). Lineage: Eukaryota; Metazoa; Chordata; Lepidosauria; Squamata; Agamidae. The record is from RNAcentral.
UGUGGUGUUCCGCCAUAUCAUUCUAAAAAUAGUAAAUCCUAUCUGAACGUGGAAGGUAACUAGGCUCGGGCCUGGUUAGUGCUAGGAUGGGAGACCACAAAGGAAUACCAGGAAUCUCCAAGU